Molecule: ribosomal RNA, 445 nt
Filed under: uncultured bacterium
Lineage: Bacteria
Description: partial 16S ribosomal RNA
Rfam family: Bacterial small subunit ribosomal RNA
Source: RNAcentral
GUGAGGAAUAUUGGUCAAUGGACGAGAGUCUGAACCAGCCAAGUCGCGUGAAGGAAGACGGUUCUAUGAAUUGUAAACUUCUUUUGUGCAGGAAUAAAGUGGGUUACGUGUAACCUUUUGUAUGUACUGUACGAAUAAGGAUCGGCUAACUCCGUGCCAGCAGCCGCGGUAAUACGGAGGAUCCGAGCGUUAUCCGGAUUUAUUGGGUUUAAAGGGUGCGUAGGUGGAUUGAUACGUCAGCGGUGAAAGUUUGCAGCUUAACUGUAAAAUUGCCGUUGAAACCGUCGGUCUUGAGUGCAAAUGAGGUAGGCGGAAUGUGUUGUGUAGCGGUGAAAUGCUUAGAUAUUACAUGGAAUACCAAUUGCGAAGGCAGGUUACUACUUGUGGAUUGACGCUGAUGGACGAAAGCGUGGGGAGCGAACAGGAUUAGAUACCCUUGUAGUCC